UACGUAGGGGGCGAGCGUUGUCCGGAAUCAUUGGGCGUAAAGCGCGUGUAGGCGGCUCGUUAAGUCCGGUGUGAAACCUUGGGGCUCAACCCCAAGCCUGCACUGGAUACUGACGAGCUCGAGUCCGGGAGGGGAGAGCGGAAUUCCUAGUGUAGCGGUGAAAUGCGCAGAUAUUAGGAAGAACACCGGUGGCGAAGGCGGCUCUCUGGAACGGUACUGACGCUGAGGAGCGAAAGCGUGGGGAGCGAACAGG
This 253-nucleotide ribosomal RNA is filed under the name uncultured bacterium. RNAcentral describes it as "partial 16S ribosomal RNA". It matches the Rfam family "Bacterial small subunit ribosomal RNA", at positions 524 to 776 of the family's 1533-position model. The record is from RNAcentral.